Long non-coding RNA from Rosa rugosa (rugosa rose), 3576 nucleotides. RefSeq lists it as uncharacterized. The record is from RefSeq and is a predicted model, not a curated record. Lineage: Eukaryota; Viridiplantae; Streptophyta; Magnoliopsida; Rosales; Rosaceae. The transcript is spliced from 5 exons.
CUAGAAAUCUGUUCAUAGACAUCGCAUGUUUUAAAUCGGUCAGACUUGCCCACGAUGUAAAAAAGUAAUCUAACAUCGUUUUACGAAAAUACCGAUUUAAAUGUAUGUCAUUAACACCAGUUCUUAAAAUGACCGGUGUUAAAAGUUUAGUUCGAAAAUUUGCGGGAACCUAUUUUUGCAAAAAAACGCUAAGUUUUUAAGUGAAAUGAAGAAGCGGGGACUAAAACUCAAAACUUUCACACUUAGAAAAAAAAUUGCGCCCAAAUAGAAACAGAUGGAAAACCCUAAUGUUACUCUCCCUCGACCUCCUUCAUUCUGAACUCCUCCCAAACUAGAUCUCCUCCCAAACUCGACCUCCAUUCUGGACCCUAAGCUCACUCGAACUCGCCGCCAUUCUGGAGCUCCUCAUUGCUUCCUUCAUCUCCCUCUCUCUCCCUCCCUAGUUUCACAGGUAGCUAGCUCACACAAAUCGAGCCAUGGCUCCUCCCAGUAUUCUCAGUCCUCCCGAGUUCCACAAACCCUCACCCACCACCACCGCUCCGCGCGCCACCCCAACCCAAAUCCAAACCCACCACCGGCGAAUCCUUCGUGGACCUGAUGGUGGCGAAUUUCAACGACGUCGGAACCAAGCACGACCUCCCAAUGGGCCUGACGGAGAACGACUCUGCCACGUUUCUCUCCACCGGCAACCCCUGCCUCGAUCUCUUCUUCCACGUCAUCCCAAACACUCCAGGCGACUACCUCACGUCCUCACCGAUGGGACUCCAAUGGUGGCCAGUGUCGUGUCACUGGAUUCUUCCUUUAUCGCAAUCACUUCAUCUUCUUCACCUUCAUAUUCUUCUUCGUUUUUAACGAAACUAAGGCACGCGCCGAGUCUGUGACUUUGUUUUGCAGUCACGCCCUUGAGUGGGAAGAAGCACAUGGCUCACACAAUUGCUCACAUCACUCUCGGCCUCACUCAGAUUUCUUCUGUCUUUGAAGCCCCAAAGGUUUUGCUCUGCUCCGUUUCGCUGAAAUAUUUGGAAUUUUAAAAUUGCUUGGCAUGUAUGUGUUAUUUGUAUAGAGAUUUUGUUAUCUGGAUUAGUUUUUGGUGUUAAUUUUAGGAAAAUAAAAAUCUGAUCUAGAACUACUUUGUAGUUGUUCAUGAUUGCUCUUAUUAGUUGUUUGAUUGAUCUUGAGCUUUAUAUAUGUAAAGGAUCGAUCUAUUUUGAUGUGGUGAUUCGAUUUUUGUGUUUAUGUGAUUAACUUUUGUGGAAUUGAAGCUAUACAUAAUAUGUGAGCAAUUUGAUUUGAUUGUAACUGGAUUUCGUUGUGUGAUGUAUUGAUUUGAUUGUGAUUUAUGAAGCUCACUAGCAGAAGAGGCCUCAAACAUUGCUUCCUUAUAUAGUGAUGUUCUACAGGUAGAGGUUCUGGGCUGUUGGUUGGGCUGAUUGGGAAAAGGUGAAGUUUUCAAAGGUUGAAUUGCUCCCAAAAGGCUUGGAAAUCCGGACUGAAGUUUUCAAAGGUGAACUUUUUUAUUUUUUGCGUAUCUUGAACGAGGUUGAGUAUGUUAUACUGUUUCCACUCAAUAUUUGGAGUGCGAAAUCUUGCCAAUGUUCUCACACCUGGUUCAUUUUAGCUUUACUAUUGCCAUUUUGGUGGGCCAUACUUGUAAUUUUUAUGUUGAUUGAGUUAUAUCUAGUAUUGCUAUGUGCUUGCUUCCUCGAAGGCUUGGAAAUCCGGUUUCAAUUGCUCGCAAUAGGAUUGGAAAUCUGGUUUCUUUCACAGAAGAUUUUCCUCUGCUGAACUUGCUACGAGGACUGGUAUAAUCUAGGUGGUUUUCAGGUAGGAGGUGGGAUCAAUUCAGAUAAUUCUUUGCAAUACAUAGAAGAAGGGGCUACCCACGUCAUUGUCACUUCUUAUGUAUUUAAUAAUGGGCAAAACCUUGAAAGGCUUAAAGAUCUUGUUCGUGUUGUUGGAAAAGAAAGGCUUGUUUUAGACCUUAGCUGUAGAAAGAGGGAAGGUAAAUAUGCAAUUGUCACAGAUAGAUGGCAAAAGUUCAGUGACGUGUAUCUUGACAAGGAAAUAUUAGACUUCAUUGCCAAGUAUGCAGACGAGUUUCUGGUACAUGGUGUCGAUGUGGAAGGGAAAAAGUAAGUCAUUUUUAUUGCCAUACAUGUUUCUUUACACAAUACAUAUGCUUACAUAAGUGCGGCAGAAAUAUAGAUAUUUAAAUAAAUGCUCAUGAAAACCAUUUCCUUGUGCGAGUCUUUUUUUAUAUUUUGUCUGUUUCUUUAUAUGGUCACACUCUUUUUGUUGUUAUCAAGAAAACAUAUUUUACCAAUAAAUUAGAAUAGUUGAGGAAAUUUGGUGGAUUCCCGAAUUAUAAAUUACUACUGAUUUUACUACUGUUCAGAACAUAGUGUAUAUGUUCUUUGGUUUACCAAGAGUCGAAGUAGUUUAGAUUGAAAAGAUUUGGCUUAUUGCUGCUUUUUCCGUUAGUUUUAGGCAGUGUUUGGUGAGACUUCUUCUGAUAAUCAACUAGCAGAAGAACAUAUGUAUAGCUGGUUUGACUUUUGAAGAUGAUCCAGUCGAUAAAAGUGAAAAGCUGGAACGAGAUGGGAAACAAUGGGUUGAUAUGUGCUCUUCAAGGUGUUAUGUACCCAGAGUGCAUGAUAAUGUCCUGCUGCAAAAGUGGCUAUGUGAGAAUAAUACAAAACGUUUUCUUUAGCAUAAUUUACCCCAACCUAACACUGGCUGACCUGAAUAAAGAACUGUUCAGUAAUUGGUGCUAGGGUAGGUAUUCACAAUCUGGUCAGUUCAAGUGUGUUUAUUAUACAAAUAAAUAAAAGCACAUUUAUGUAGAUUAUGUUAAAUUUCUACUUGUUUCUGACUAUAUCAGGAGCUCAGUUAAGGCCCUGGAAGUCUCUCAUUUUGCUAGUUACUGAUGUCACUGAAAACAUGUGCAUAUAAGUAUACCAUUUUUCUUGUGCUCCUUGAAUCCUGUUUUCUUUUUCUUUUUCUUUUUAUGGAGAAGAGUGCUCCUUGAAUCCUUAAGCCUGAUACUCUUAACUUUCAUUUUAUCUUGUGCUUUACAGAUUAUGAAAAUAAUGUUUCUGAAUACAGGGUUUGUGCAUCUGGCUUCUGUUAUCCUUAUUCUUAUCUUUUCCCAUCAAGUUCUUUAUAUGGGCAGUUUUAUCAACCAUGAUACAUAUGGAGCUCCCACACAUAAAUGUCUUCUCUAAGAUUGAUUUGAUACAAAACUAUGGAAGCUAGGUACUUGCAUGAACUUCUUACUCAAAGAGAUGAAUUUGACACCAUUGCUUUGUUGAUCCGGCAUCUACAUAUAAUUGUCAAAGAGACGACUUUGUACGUAUUGAAGUGGCUGAUUAUAUACAGAGUUUGGCUACCAACAUGAUUUUGAGUAAGACUAGUUUUUGCUUUGAAGCAAAGUUUGGUGUUGAACUUUUGUAGUUGGUUGCUAAUAUGUUUAUAGGCUAGCCUUUGUAGGUUUUGGGGUUUUAUUUUGUGAAUUAUGUAGAAUCAUGAAUGAAGAUGAGAAAAUUAAUGGAAAGCCCCAAUUUUUGAAUGAUGAGA